GAUGAACGCUAGCUACAGGCUUAACACAUGCAAGUCGAGGGGCAGCGGGAUUGAAGCUUGCUUCAAUUGCCGGCGACCGGCGCACGGGUGAGUAACGCGUAUCCAACCUUCCGUACACUCAGGGAUAGCCUUUCGAAAGAAAGAUUAAUACCUGAUGGUAUGAUGAGAUUGCAUGAUAGCAUCAUUAAAGAUUUAUCGGUGUACGAUGGGGAUGCGUUCCAUUAGGUAGUAGGCGGGGUAACGGCCCACCUAGCCAACGAUGGAUAGGGGUUCUGAGAGGAAGGUCCCCCACAUUGGAACUGAGACACGGUCCAAACUCCUACGGGAGGCAGCAGUGAGGAAUAUUGGUCAAUGGACGAGAGUCUGAACCAGCCAAGUAGCGUGAAGGAUGAAGGUCCUACGGAUUGUAAACUUCUUUUANAAGGGAAUAAACCCUCCACGUGUGGGAGCUUGUAUGUACCUUAUGAAUAAGCAUCGGCUAACUCCGUGCCAGCAG
This 496-nucleotide ribosomal RNA is filed under the name uncultured bacterium. Its description in RNAcentral is "bacterial SSU rRNA". It matches the Rfam family "Bacterial small subunit ribosomal RNA", at positions 28 to 514 of the family's 1533-position model. The record is from RNAcentral.